UUUUCGGAGAGUUUGAUCCUGGCUCAGAAUGAACGCUGGCGGCGUGGUUAAGACAUGCAAGUCGAACGGUUUUUCAGAUGUAGCAAUACAUUUGAAAAGCAGUGGCGAACGGGUGCGUAACACGUGAACAAUCUACCUUAAAGUGGGGAAUAGCUCGCCGAAAGGCGAAUUAAUACCGCAUACGGUUGGGACUCUCCUGAGUCCCAUACCAAAGUCGGGGACCGCAAGGCCUGACGCUAUAAGAGGAGUUCGCGGCCUAUCAGCUAGUUGGCGAGGUAACGGCUCACCAAGGCUAAGACGGGUAGCUGGUCUGAGAGGAUGAUCAG
RNAcentral lists this non-coding RNA (326 nucleotides) under Beta vulgaris subsp. vulgaris (sugar beet). RNAcentral's name for it is "Bacterial small subunit ribosomal RNA". It matches the Rfam family "Bacterial small subunit ribosomal RNA", at positions 1 to 307 of the family's 1533-position model. The record is from Rfam by way of RNAcentral. Lineage: Eukaryota; Viridiplantae; Streptophyta; Magnoliopsida; Caryophyllales; Amaranthaceae.